Carya illinoinensis is the source of this 3404-nucleotide long non-coding RNA. RefSeq lists it as uncharacterized. The record is from RefSeq and is a predicted model, not a curated record. NCBI's taxonomy places the organism in Eukaryota, Viridiplantae, Streptophyta, Magnoliopsida, Fagales, Juglandaceae. The transcript is spliced from 2 exons.
UUAUUUUUUAGUGGGUUUUAAAUCAUGUUUUGGGCCCAGCCUUGUAGCUGUUGGAAGCCCAAUUCGUUGGCUUGUUUUCAGCCAGCUCUCUCUCCAUAAACGGUGUGUUUUGACCUUGCUUAGAGUUAGGGCUUGUCUCAUUUUCUUUUCUUCUUCACCUUUCUCCUACCGCAGCCACACACUACUCUUCUUCUUCUUUGUUUUAUUUUUCUUCUCCUACACGUCGUCCAUUCCUUCUUCAUUUUUAUUGUGUUAUUUUCUUCUGCAACCGGUGUUGCUGCAGUCGACUUUCUCCAUUUUCGUUAGGGCUAGGGUUUGUCACCCAAGAAAUCAGCAAUCCUGGAAUUAGCCUUGGAUAUGUAUCAGAGGGUUGAAAAAUACAAGCCCAAGUUUCAGAUAUGUUUUGCUAUUUCUUAUUACUGUUAGACUAUUGGAAUUAUAUAAAUACUUAUUUAAUUUCUAGAGUUCAUCUAUUUUUUUUUUAAUUGUGGGGUUUUAUUUAUUUAUUUGGGUAUGUUAUAUGCUGUUGGCUCUUGGAAUUAUAUGGCUUCUUGGGUUAAAUGGAUUACGGUCUGUCUUGGGUUUUGGGUUUGUGAAUUCAUCUGGUUUAACUGCUGUUCCAUUUUUUUUUUUUGUAGUUUUUUUUUUUGAAGUUUUUUAAUUUCCAUUGACACAGCAUCACACUACUUCACACUACUUUUCUUUUCUUAACCUAUUAACUAUCAAGAUAGCCAACAAAAAGAGAAUACAUUAUUAUUGGAACACAUUUUUAUUUUUAGAUCCUCACCCUAGGAUGUUUAUCUAAUUCUCUUUUUGCUCCUAGCUUUAGAUAUAUCACUGACAAAACAUCACACAAUUUCGAAGAUCUAUUCUGUUUUGAACAUGGAAAUCCUUUUUUUUUCUUUUUUUAUGAAAUUUUUGAGGCAUCAAUUUUUGUUCAUCUGUUCAUCUAUUUCAAACAUGUUAUUAUUGUAAAUAUUCCAUUCUUGAUUUGUUCUAUGUCAUAUAUUGUUUAGGAUUGAUUAUUUUUGUCUUUUUCUUUUAGUAUACAAUUUGAGUUAAUUUUUGGUAAUAGAUGCGAAUUUGACAUAUGGCUUUUUUGUUUCUGUGAAAGCAUGGAACUUUGCUUAACGUAUAAUGGAACGAAAAACAAAUUACUUAUAUAGUCUUUUUCAUUUUGAAACUUAUUAGUAUUUUUUUUUUGUAGGGCUAGGGUUUGUCACCCAAGAAAUCAGCAAUCCUGGAAUUAGCCUUGGAUAUGUAUCAGAGGGUUGAAAAAUACAAGCCCAAGUUUCAGAUAUGUUUUGCUAUUUCUUAUUACUGUCAGGCUAUUGGAAUUAUAUAAAUACUUAUUUAAUUUCUAGAGUUCAUCUGUUUUUUUUUUUAAUUGUGGGGUUUUAUUUAUUUAUUUGGGUAUGUUAUAUGCUGUUGGCUCUUGGAAUUAUAUGGCUUCUUGGGUUAAAUGAAUUACGGUCUGUCUUGGGUUUUGGGUUUGUGAAUUCAUCUGGUUUAACUGCUGUUUUUUUUCGAGUUUUUUAAUUUCCAAUGACACGACAUCACACUACUUCACACUACUUUUCUUUUCUUAACCUAUUAACUAUCAAGAUAGCCAACAAAAGGAGAAUACAUUAUUAUUGGAACACAUUUUUAUUUUUAGAUCCUCACCCUAGGAUGUUUAUCUAAUUCUCUUUUUGCUCCUAGCUUUAGAUAUAUCACUGACAAAACAUCACACAAUUUCGAAGAUCUAUUCUGUUUUGAACAUGGAAAUCCUUUUUUUUUCUUUUUUUAUGAAAUUUUUGAGGCAUCAAUUUUUGUUCAUCUGUUCAUCUAUUUCAAACAUGUUAUUAUUGUAAAUAUUCCAUUCUUGAUUUGUUCUAUGUCAUAUAUUGUUUAGGAUUGAUUAUUUUUGUCUUUUUCUUUUAGUAUACAAUUUGAGUUAAUUUUUCAUUUUGUCAUAUAUUCUUUUGUGAUCUAUUCUGUUUUGCUCCUAGCUUUAGAUAUAUCACUGACAAAACAUCACACAAUUUUUCUUUUCUUAACCUAUUCACUGUCAAGAUAGCUCACAAAAGAAAGAGUACACUUUUAUUUUUAGAUCUUUGAUAAAUCUGACAAUAGCAAAUGAAAGGGAUCGAAAAGUGGAAGAUAACAAAGAUCUUUGAUAAAUCUGACAAUAGCAAAUGAAAGGGAUCGAAAAGUGGAAGAUAACAAAAUAAGUAAACCACAAGAUAGACUUACAGAGAUAAAAAUCAGAAAUGUAAAACUCUGAAAGUCUCCAACCAAGAAAACCUGAAAAGAAAUCACCAUUAGAAACGAACAGAAAACAUUAAGCACUGCAUGAAACAAUGAAAAAAAAGUAGAAGAAAGAAAUGCUAGUAGGGUAAGGUAACAAUGAAAGAAAGAAGAAAGAAAAGCCAGUAGGGUAAAGAAAAUAACCCAAGAACUAAAUGUGCAGCUCUGAAAGAAAGCACCAAACGACAUAAGCAGGGUGAACAAAAAUAAUCUUCAUAGACCCUUUUAAGGUGCAAUGGCUUCCUGAACUAUCAUCCUAGGAACUCCCAUCGCAUGCAGCAGACCACUACAAAACCAAUCAACCCACUGGAAAACCAAUCAAACCAAAUAUUGGAAAACCAAAUGGAAAACUGGCAGCAUCAUACCACUGCAUAUGCAUUUUUUAUUUCUUGCAUUUUAUUUCCCAUAAUUAUUUUAAAAAAAAGGUAUAUAUUUCAUAAUAUAAAAAAUUAACCAUACGUUUUAUUUCUUUUACAUCAAAAAGAAAUUGUCGUGAUUGAUUCUUUAUUUCUUGCAUUUUUAUUUAUCAGGAUUAAAUAUUUGUGAUUUUUUCAUAUGGCAUUUGUUUUUUCUUCUUAGGUAGUGAGCACUGUUUUCUUUGUUGUGAUUAAUCAUAUGUCAUUUGUUUUUCUUCUACACUGAGCAAAUUUUUCUUCUUUAUCCUGAACGGGCAGGAUUUUUUUUAUUUGUUUUUAAGGUUUUAAUUAUUUUUUUUUAUCCAGAUUAAGAAUGUUUUUUUUAAUGGUUUUGUGAUUCCAUAUGUUACAGAUGUAAAAGUCACAAUUACCUAUACGUAUGCAAGACUCACAAUUAACUACAGGCAUGCACUGACCAACUGAAGUAUCUUCCAUACGCAUGCACUGAUAACUGACAAGAGGGGACAAGAGCAGGGCUUGGUACCAAUGCAACCAGCGUGUUUAUACUGCACAACCAAUGAAGUUAAAGACUUUUGCACGGAUGAAACACACAAAUUGAAGCAAAGAGUAAAUACGUGAAACACGGAAACAGAAUGGGAUUGCACUGUUCAUUACUGUAGCAGGAUCAUUGAUGCUUUUUAUUAUAGAGAGAUGUGAUGUUGAAGUUUGAUAAAGUUAAAAUUGUUUGAUAUUUAAACC